AUUGAACGCUGGCGGCAGGCCUAACACAUGCAAGUCGAGCGGAUGAAGGGAGCUUGCUCCUGGAUUCAGCGGCGGACGGGUGAGUAAUGCCUAGGAAGCUGCCUGGUAGUGAGGGAUAACGUACGGAAACGGGCGCUAAUACCGCAUACGUCCUGAUGGAGAAAGUGGGGGAUCUUCGGACCUCACGCUAUCAGAUGAGCCUAGGUCGGAUUAGCUAGUUGGUGGGGUAAAGGCCUACCAAGGCGACGAUCCGUAACUGGUCUGAGUGGCUGAUCAGUCACACUGGAACUGAGACACGGUCCAGACUCCUACGGGAGGCAGCAGUGGGGAAUAUUGGACAAUGGGCGAAAGCCUGAUGCAGCCAUGCCGCGUGUGUGAAGAAGGUCUUCGGAUUGUAAAGCACUUUAAGUUGGGAGGAAGGGCAGUAAGUUAAUAUCUUGCUGUUUUGACGUUACCAACAGAAUAAGCACCGGCUAACUUCGUG
This 484-nucleotide ribosomal RNA is filed under the name uncultured bacterium. Its description in RNAcentral is "partial 16S ribosomal RNA". It matches the Rfam family "Bacterial small subunit ribosomal RNA", at positions 30 to 507 of the family's 1533-position model. The record is from RNAcentral.